Long non-coding RNA from Pygocentrus nattereri (red-bellied piranha), 724 nucleotides. RefSeq lists it as uncharacterized. The transcript has 3 exons. The record is from RefSeq and is a predicted model, not a curated record. Lineage: Eukaryota; Metazoa; Chordata; Actinopteri; Characiformes; Serrasalmidae.
AAUAACCAGUAUCUUCUUUCGAUCCUUGGACUGCAGGAUGGUGGGGGCCAUGGAGGACGGAGGCUGCUCCCCUACAAAAACAGCAGGAAUCAGGUUUUGGAUAGCAGGAUUCUAAGAUUACUGAUACUGAUUGCUGAUUGGUUGGCGAGCAGAGCAGCUCAUUGUCUGUUCUCAUUCACUGAUAACCAUCUGGCCCUGCGGUGGACAAGAGGCCAGAGAGCGGCAUCAGCCAGAACCUUUAUCACAGGCACUGAUGGGUAAAAGUGAGCACAGAUGCAACGGUUCUCACCUGCUGAUAUGGAAUCAGCCCUGUCACAGAAAUCUGCCAGCUCAUUAUUCAGGAUGAUGCCUGUUCUAGGAGAGUACACAAAUGAUCCGAAACUGCAUACAGAGACAAGAAACACAAACAAACAAAUAAACAUAUUGUCAAGAAUAACACUUGAAACCUGAAAAUAUGACUGAUGAAGAACACUGGGCCUCAUUCUCUAAUAUCUUCCUAAGUUUGCUCUUAAAUGUGUUCUUGAGAAAGUUUCCUAAGAAAACGUCUAUGUUAGAUUAAUGAUGUGCAGAUCUCUCUCACAGCCUGAGACCAGUGUAAGGUUCUUGUUAAGUUAAGAAAACACAAGAACUGAAUGUUUUAAGGAAUAGCACUUGUUUUAAGAAUUAAAAAAUAAGAGAAUUCUUAAAGGGGCUCCCACGGAUUUUUCAAAAUUCUGCAUAAAUA